ACAGAGGUCCCAAGCGUUGUUCGGAUUCACUGGGCGUAAAGGGUGCGUAGGUGGCGGGGUAAGUCGGAUGUGAAAUCUCCGAGCUCAACUCGGAAACUGCAUUGGAAACUACCUUGCUCGAGGGUUGGAGGGGGGACUGGAAUACUUGGUGUAGCAGUGAAAUGCGUAGAUAUCAAGUGGAACACCAGUGGCGAAAGCGAGUCCCUAGACAACUCCUGACACUGAGGCACGAAAGCUAGGGGAGCAAACAGG
RNAcentral lists this ribosomal RNA (252 nucleotides) under uncultured bacterium. RNAcentral describes it as "partial 16S ribosomal RNA". It matches the Rfam family "Bacterial small subunit ribosomal RNA", at positions 525 to 776 of the family's 1533-position model. The record is from RNAcentral.